GGCCAGGGCUGCAUUGGGCCGGCUUUCUCACAUCAGUUUGGCCAAACCCAAAUCCCAUGGAGCCUAACUUGAAAUGAAAAUGCUCAGAAUAACUCUAAGAAACUUGCAGAUACAAAGAUGGAGAAAGUACAGGCUUCUUCUUUUGGUAGGGUGUGCUGCAGAACAAAGGUGCCUGUUAUUUUCAUGUGCAUAAAACAAGUUGGGAAUAUAUUAUUAAACCAUUACAUGGAAGAAGCACAACCUUCAAAGUUCAAUAAGGAAAGAACUUAAUCUUCCCACCACCUUCCUCACUGAUAGUACCUAUUCAAAUCUACUUUGUGGAUCCAAUGUGUUACCAUCCUUAGAGGAAUCCUGAGCAUGAUUUAUCUGGUCACUCUCAAAUCAUCAUCAUCAUCAUCAUCAUCAUCAUCAUCAUCAUCAUCAAUAUCAUCCUGUGGUAAUUUUGGUUCACCAACUAUAAUGUUCAUUCCACAAUAAUGAUCAACUUCGCAUUUUAUUCAAAGUAAAAGUCUCUGUUCUCCCUCAACUCAA
Suricata suricatta (meerkat) is the source of this 531-nucleotide long non-coding RNA. RefSeq lists it as uncharacterized. NCBI's taxonomy places the organism in Eukaryota, Metazoa, Chordata, Mammalia, Carnivora, Herpestidae. The record is from RefSeq and is a predicted model, not a curated record. The transcript is spliced from 2 exons.